AGCCCAACUUCAAUUUGCCCACAGCAGGGCUGGGAGACACAAGAUCCUGCCCUGGAGCUGAAAUGGGCACCAGGCUCUUCUUCUAUGUGGCCCUUUGUCUGCUGUGGGCAGGACACAGGGAUGCUGAAAUCACCCAGAGCCCAAGAUACAAGAUCACAGAGACAGGAAGGCAGGUGACACUGAAGUGUCACCAGACUUGGAACCACAACAAUAUGUUCUGGUAUCGACAAGACCUGGGACAUGGGCUGAGGCUGAUCCAUUACUCAUUUGGUGUUCCAGACACUGGCAAAGGAGAAGUCUCAGAUGGCUACAGUGUCUCUAGAUCAAAGACAGAGGAUUUCCCCCUCACUCUGGAGUCUGCUGCCUCCUCCCAGACAUCUGUAUAUUUCUGCGCCAGCAGUGAGUCCACAGUGCUGCACAGCUGCCUCCUCUCUGCACAUAAAGGGCAGUUAGAAUGA
Nomascus leucogenys (northern white-cheeked gibbon) is the source of this 458-nucleotide non-coding RNA. The record is from the annotation of a RefSeq genome assembly. Lineage: Eukaryota; Metazoa; Chordata; Mammalia; Primates; Hylobatidae.